GAUGAACGCUGGCGGCGUGCUUAACACAUGCAAGUCGAACGGAAAGGCUCCUGCUUGCAGGGGUACUCGAGUGGCGAACGGGUGAGUAACACGUGGGUGAUCUGCCCUGCACUUCGGGAUAAGCCUGGGAAACUGGGUCUAAUACCGGAUAGGACCACCUUCUGGAUGGUGUGGUGGAAAGUUUUUCGGUGUGGGAUGAGCUCGCGGCCUAUCAGCUUGUUGGUGGGGUAAUGGCCUACCAAGGCGUCGACGGGUAGCCGGCCUGAGAGGGUGUACGGCCACAUUGGGACUGAGAUACGGCCCAGACUCCUACGGGAGGCAGCAGUGGGGAAUAUUGCACAAUGGGCGGAAGCCUGAUGCAGCGACGCCGCGUGGGGGAUGACGGCCUUCGGGUUGUAAACUCCUUUCGCUAGGGACGAAGCGCAAGUGACGGUACCUGGAGAAGAAGCACCGGCUAACUACGUG
This 465-nucleotide ribosomal RNA is filed under the name uncultured bacterium. RNAcentral describes it as "partial 16S ribosomal RNA". It matches the Rfam family "Bacterial small subunit ribosomal RNA", at positions 28 to 507 of the family's 1533-position model. The record is from RNAcentral.